UGGGGAAUUUUGGACAAUGGGCGCAAGCCUGAUCCAGCCAUGCCGCGUGUCUGAAGAAGGCCUUCGGGUUGUAAAGGACUUUUGUCAGGGAAGAAAAGGAUAGGGUUAAUACCCCUGUCUGAUGACGGUACCUGAAGAAUAAGCACCGGCUAACUACGUGCCAGCAGCCGCGGUAAUACGUAGGGUGCGAGCGUUAAUCGGAAUUACUGGGCGUAAAGCGGGCGCAGACGGUUACUUAAGCAGGAUGUGAAAUCCCCGGGCUCAACCUGGGAACUGCGUUCUGAACUGGGUGACUAGAGUGUGUCAGAGGGAGGUAGAAUUCCACGUGUAGCAGUGAAAUGCGUAGAGAUGUGGAGGAAUACCGAUGGCGAAGGCAGCCUCCUGGGAUAACACUGACGUUCAUGCCCGAAAGCGUGGGUAGCAAACAGGAUUAGAUACCCUGGUAGUCCACGCCCUAAACGAUGUCGAUUAGCUGUUGGGCAGCUUGACUGCUUAGUAGCGAAGCUAACGCGUGAAAUCGACCGCCUGGGGGAGUACGGUCGCAAGAUUA
Molecule: ribosomal RNA, 550 nt
Filed under: uncultured bacterium
Lineage: Bacteria
Description: bacterial SSU rRNA
Rfam family: Bacterial small subunit ribosomal RNA
Source: RNAcentral